UGGGGAAUAUUGGACAAUGGGCGAAAGCCUGAUCCAGCCAUGCCGCGUGUGUGAAGAAGGUCUUCGGAUUGUAAAGCACUUUAAGUUGGGAGGAAGGGCAGUAAGCGAAUACCUUGCUGUUUUGACGUUACCGACAGAAUAAGCACCGGCUAACUCUGUGCCAGCAGCCGCGGUAAUACAGAGGGUGCAAGCGUUAAUCGGAAUUACUGGGCGUAAAGCGCGCGUAGGUGGUUCGUUAAGUUGAAUGUGAAAGCCCCGGGCUCAACCUGGGAACUGCAUCCAAAACUGGCGAGCUAGAGUAGGGCAGAGGGUGGUGGAAUUUCCUGUGUAGCGGUGAAAUGCGUAGGUAUAGGAAGGAACACCAGUGGCGAAGGCGACCACCUGGGCUCAUACUGACACUGAGGUGCGAAAGCGUGGGGAGCAAACAG
Molecule: ribosomal RNA, 428 nt
Filed under: Pseudomonadota bacterium
Lineage: Bacteria; Pseudomonadati; Pseudomonadota
Description: Proteobacteria bacterium partial 16S ribosomal RNA
Rfam family: Bacterial small subunit ribosomal RNA
Source: RNAcentral